UAACAAGAAAUGAAAAAAUCAUUUUCGGUUUCGACCCGUAUAUAUUGGUGUUAAUACACCCUGUUCA
This 67-nucleotide transfer RNA is filed under the name unidentified. RNAcentral's name for it is "Cirrothauma sp. FMNH 309245 tRNA-Arg". The record is from RNAcentral.